RNAcentral lists this non-coding RNA (23 nucleotides) under Arabidopsis thaliana (thale cress). The record is from RNAcentral. Lineage: Eukaryota; Viridiplantae; Streptophyta; Magnoliopsida; Brassicales; Brassicaceae.
UAGAAUGGGCUUUCAACGCCCAG